This 491-nucleotide ribosomal RNA is filed under the name uncultured bacterium. RNAcentral describes it as "bacterial SSU rRNA". It matches the Rfam family "Bacterial small subunit ribosomal RNA", at positions 903 to 1397 of the family's 1533-position model. The record is from RNAcentral.
AAAGGAAUAGACGGGGGCCCGCACAAGCAGUGGAGUAUGUGGUUUAAUUCGACGCAACGCGAAGAACCUUACCAGGGCUUGACAUCCUACUAACGAAGCAGAGAUGCAUCAGGUGCCCUUCGGGGAAAGUAGAGACAGGUGGUGCAUGGUUGUCGUCAGCUCGUGUCGUGAGAUGUUGGGUUAAGUCCCGCAACGAGCGCAACCCUUGUUGUCAGUUGCUACGCAAGAGCACUCUGGCGAAACUGCCGUUGACAAAACGGAGGAAGGUGGGGACGACGUCAAAUCAUCAUGCCCCUUAUGUCCUGGGCUACACACGUACUACAAUGGUAGAGAACAAAGGGAAGCAAAGCAGUGAUGCAGAGCAAAUCCCAAAAAGCUAUCUCAGUUCGGAUUGCAGGCUGCAACCCGCCUGCAUGAAGUCGGAAUUGCUAGUAAUCGCGGAUCAGCAUGCCGCGGUGAAUACGUUCCCGGGCCUUGUACACACCGCCCGU